RNAcentral lists this ribosomal RNA (426 nucleotides) under uncultured Scutellospora. RNAcentral's name for it is "SSU rRNA". It matches the Rfam family "Eukaryotic small subunit ribosomal RNA", at positions 569 to 1003 of the family's 1831-position model. Lineage: Eukaryota; Fungi; Glomeromycota; Glomeromycetes; Diversisporales; Gigasporaceae. The record is from RNAcentral.
AGCAGCCGCGGUAAUUCCAGCUCCAAUAGCGUAUGUUAAAGUUGUUGCAGUUAAAAAGCUCGUAGUUGAAUUUCGGGGUUCCACCGUUGGUCGAGCUAUUGUUUGUACUGGCGUGUGGAAUUUCUACCUUCUGGGGAACUAUCAUGUUAUUAAUUUAGCGUGGUAGGAAACCAGGACCUUUACCUUGAAAAAUUAGAGUGUUCAAAGCAGGCUUAUGUCUGAAUACAUUAGCAUGGAAUAAUAAAAUAGGACGGUGGUCCUGUUUUGUUGGUUUCUGAAUCACCGUAAUGAUUAAUAGGGAUAGUUGGGGGCAUUAGUAUUCAAUUGUCAGAGUGAAAUUCUUGGAUUUAUUGAAGUACUAACUACUGCGAAAGCAAUUUGCCAAGGAUGUUUCAUUAAUCAAGAACGAAAGUUAGGGGAUCGAAG